GUGAAAAAUCACUCUGAGGAAUUUGCGUCGGAAAAAAAAAAUAUGGCGACCGUCUCAGCAUUUUCCGUUUGUAGAGCCAAAUCUCAUUCUCGAAUUCCCCAUUCUUCAUCUAAUGCAAUUCCCCAGCUUUUCCCAAUGCAAUUUCUUCGGUGUCAAAGCAACAGGAGCAUUGGCGGUGGUUAUUCUUGCUCUUCAAGUUCGGUGAAAGCGAAGGUACCUUUGAGAACUACCAGGAUAUGUUCUGCAACUGAGGAAGAUGGUGCUACUGCUGUUGCCGAAGAAGAAUCUGCUGCUCCCACUACAUCUGAUCAAACUGUUUCUGUUUCCGUCUCCCCUUCCGACGUUCUAACUAUGUUCUUUCAGGCAGAAGGAACAAUGAAUGAAGCUGCUAUUCCUUCCGUGACUAACGCUUUAGAGGAUAUUGAAGGCAUUACAGGUCUCAAAAUUCAAGUUGUCGAGGGCAUUGCAAGUGUCGAGUUAACAAAGCAAACGACAAUACAAGCUACAGGGGUGGCUUCAAGUUUGGUUGAAACAAUACAAGGUUCAGGCUUCAAGUUGCAAACAUUGAAUCUGAGCUUUCAGGAUGAAGAAGAUAUUAGCUAAGUGGUGGCUUGUAGAAUUCAGAGACAUGAUAGGCUGAUAUCUUUCACGGGCAUCCUGAGAGAUCUCUGUUUAUUUGUAUGCCAGUAGUUUCAGUAAGCCUAUAUCUGUAACAUUUUUGUGUUAUGCAGUUCUUUGAUCUUUUUCUUCCUUAGCAUAUGUUCCUUUCCGCAACUUAUAAAAAUACUUGUGAAUUACUAAUGAUCAG
RNAcentral lists this unclassified non-coding RNA (808 nucleotides) under Hevea brasiliensis (rubber tree). The record is from RNAcentral. Lineage: Eukaryota; Viridiplantae; Streptophyta; Magnoliopsida; Malpighiales; Euphorbiaceae.